This 271-nucleotide ribosomal RNA is filed under the name uncultured bacterium. RNAcentral describes it as "partial 16S ribosomal RNA". It matches the Rfam family "Bacterial small subunit ribosomal RNA", at positions 87 to 354 of the family's 1533-position model. The record is from RNAcentral.
CCCGGCGACCGGCGCACGGGUGAGUAACACGUAUGCAACCUGGCCGUGACAGAUGGAUAACCGGGAGAAAUCCCGCCUAAUACAGCAUGACGCCGGGAAGGGACAUCCCUUUCCGGCCAAAGGGGGCGACUCCGGUCACGGAUGGGCAUGCGGCGCAUUAGGUAGUUGGUGGGGCAACGGCCCACCAAGCCGACGAUGCGUAGGGGUUCUGAGAGGAAGGUCCCCCACAUUGGAACUGAGACACGGUCCAAACUCCUACGGAAGGCAGCAG